Dreissena polymorpha is the source of this 4017-nucleotide long non-coding RNA. RefSeq lists it as uncharacterized. The transcript has 2 exons. The record is from RefSeq and is a predicted model, not a curated record. Lineage: Eukaryota; Metazoa; Mollusca; Bivalvia; Myida; Dreissenidae.
UUACCACACCCCACAUUAUACCCCCCUCUCACUCCCCCCUUGAUCAUGACUGGCAGAUGACCCCUAUUGAUUUUCAGGUCACUAGGUCAAAGGUCAAGGUCACAGUGACUCGAAAUAGUACAAUGGUUUCCGGAUGAUAACUUACAUUAGGUCAAAGGUCAAGGUCACAGUGACAAAAAACGUAUUCACACAAUGGCUGCCACUACAACUGACAGCCCAUAUGGGGGGCAUGCAUGUUUUACAAACAUCCCUUGUUGAAGUAGGUUUCUAUCUUUUAUCCUAUAUAUUCUAACGUGCAAUCUUUGUUAUUAUGUUAGAGACUAAAUUAAACCUUAUGUAGUAUAUAUUCAAAUACACUAAAAAUCAGUUAUAACAGGCCAAACACGCACACACACAUGGGUGUACAUUUAUAUUCUUUAUUUAUAAGAAAGGUUUUUUGAUUAAUUAAGAGGUAUGUUUACAAUAAAAUAUUGACUUUUAUUUGAAAAAAGUUACAUAUUUAUUCUAGCCAGAGAUAAACGGUUAAAUAAAAAGUUACCGGUACUUCAUAUUUUACUGUGAGGUUCAUUAUAACUUUUGCUGAGAGCAUUGUGUUUGUAUUUAUGUGCCAGAAAGGAGAACAGCAUACUGUGUUCUAUUGUUUGUUAUAUCCCCAGUAGCAAUUGUCUGUUUGUCUGUUAAGUUGUGUCUUUAUCGACAGAAUCAACUGAAGUUUAUUAAGUUUGUAUAAUCUGUAUAUAUUUAAAUAAUGUAUUAUGAACUACAAUGUGUAUUAUUUUGCAUAUAUAGUUCACCAUUGGAAAAUUGUUUUCAUGCACAGUGUUUAAAAUAUAAAAACUUUAUUAAAAUUUUGUCAGGACUUUACAGUUGGUUGCUAAUAGCAAAUUUUUUUCAUUGUAAAUAGCCAUUUUAUUCUUGCAAAUACAUUAACACAUUUCUAAUGAAGAUGUCAGUUUUUAUGUUUAUUACACAAUAAGUUGUAUUUGAUUUAUGAGGUGGGCCAAAUCACUUUCAAAAUCUAAAUAUGCUACUACAUAAGCCUGCAGUAGUGGGCAAGAGGUUAAAUAAUCUUGAGUUAUAUUAUCAAACUUUAACACGAAUUGUGUUUUGAAAAUCAAAUGUUGACAUUGAAACACUUGUUUUGUUUUGGUUCAGAAAAUUGUUCAAAGGUCAUCUUAAUAGUUGUUAUUCCAUAUCAUUAUAUCAUUUAUACUUUUAAGUUUUCAACAACAGUAUGUUCUUUUUAAGGAUAGUGUUGCUGCAAAUUUGUUUUACUCACAUUUUCUUAACAUUCCACCAUUUUCACGUAGCCUGAUUCAUGUUUGAUGUACACAGUUUGAUGCACUAGAUAUAAAUCAUACCACUUGUAUUUAUUUAUUAGUUUUUUACAUUUUGCACUUUCUUUACCAAAAAUUGUUUGAAGUUAAUCACAUUUGUCUGUAGAUGAGUAAAUCAUUGAUGUCAAGGAUUCAAUAUUAAAUGUUGCCCGAUUGGUCAUUGUCGGCUCGGGUACUACUUACAUGUACCCCGGGUACUCUUAAGUAUACUUACAUGUUCCCCGGGUACGGUAAAUAUUCUUAAACGUACCCGGUUGAUAUUAGACUGUACCCAAGUUGUCUUCCCGCCCAAAAUCCGAUGUCGUAAAACGCGCUACUGAUUACCGUUAAACGAUAUUUUUUAUCUUAAACAAAUCUCUUUAAAAAAACAACUGCAUCAACAUGCCUUUUAGGUAUGAGUUGCGAUAAUAUAGAGGCCAUUUAACAGAAAAUAGACAUAAAUGUGAACAUAAUUAAUUUUUAAAAAAUAGCCCACAACGACCGAUUUAGCGUCAAAAUUCCUGGGUAUGCUUUAGUAUAUUUACCAUACCCGGGGUGCAUGUAAGUAGUACACGAGCGGAGAAUGACCAAUCGAGCUUAAAUGUUGACAAAAAAAGAAUAAUUUUCUUUAAUGGAUCGGCCACAGAUUGAUUCUUCUCUAAUCAUAGAAUAAUAUUAGCUGAUAUAAAAAAUAACAAUGUACACAGUUUUAACAAAUUUUUUAUUAGGUUGUGGGUUCAUCUUUGUUCAUGUUUUCACAUGCUGUUAUUUCUUUGUAGAAUUAAAGUUUAUUCAUUUUCGUUGGUGAAAGGUCAAGGUCAAGGUCAUCCUUCAAGGUCAGAGAUCAAAUAUAUGUGGCCCAAAUCGCUUAUUUUAUGGAUACUUUUGCAAUAUUGAAGAUAGCAACUUGAUAUUUGGCAUGCAUGUGUAUCUCAUGGAGCUGCACAUUUUGAGUGGUGAAAGGUCAAGGUCAUCCUUCACAAGGUCAAGGUCAUCCUUCACAGGGUCAAGGUCAUAUAUAGGGGACAUUGUGUUUCUCAAACACAUCUUGUUAUAUUUUCCAUUUUCCUUCACUUGCAACAUGUAUUUGCUCAUGUAAUUAUAUGCCUUGACUGUUGGCAUUCUAGGUCUCUUCAUUGUUGUUUUUUUUACUGAAAAUAGACAUACUUAGUUUGUAAUGGAGUCAACUUAUAUGGAUGUUAAAAGGGACUUGUUGACAGAUUUAUACUAGGCUUAUAGUUGUGUUGCUUAUCAAUAUUAGCUAUUUCAAUUGAAGAUAAUGCUGUAAUUAAUUAUUAUUGAUAUAUUUUUUCAAUAUCUUUAGUGUCUAAUACUGCUGUUUUCCCCCUGUUUUUCUAAUCUGUGAUUGCUCGAUUAAUUCCUUUAAUGCCCAUGUGUACAAAAUGUUCUAUUGGAGAUAUUGGUAAAUAUUGUGUUCAUUAAAUAAGUAUAAGUGUAUUGUUUGUUACUGUUUUUUUCUUUUAAAUUUUGAUACAGUACUAUUUACUUCUCCAUCAACAGAAACUGUUGCCAAUUUUGCUAAUAUAGUAGGGUUAUACUUAUUGAUAACUGAAAUUGGAAAUGUUCAUGGAGACAUUGAAUAUCCAUACAUUCUUCAACAUUUUCUCAAAUUGAAUGAUUUGUUUAACACUUCGCCUACUGAAUGUAAUAAGUCAUGUAACUGACAUUUUAAUACAUUUCUACUUUUUUCCAUUUUUGUGUUUAUUAAGGUGACAUACAUCAACUGUUAAAAUAUUAAGUCAACCUUUUUGGUAAAAAUAUAUGUUUUUAUCAAAUUUUCGAAAUUGACAUAACAAGCGCAUGUCAUUUUCUGAAUGUAAAAAGUAGCGUAACUGACAUUUUGUAAAAUUUUCAGGAGGAGCAAAAAUAUGUUUUAUUUAAAUAAUAAACAUUUUUCUGUAUUCAAAUUUUCGGAUAAGUAUUAUAAUAACAGUUGAAAAACGAAACAAAACUGCAAAUUGAUAUGUCUUUUUUAAAACAAUAAAAAAUUAAGAAAGGAGCAGUUACCAUAAUUUCAACACUGAAAUAUUUUGAGCGCAAAAAAUAACAUAAGUGCUCUUACUGUAUUUUGCUUUAUAUGCUUUCCUGAACAAUUCACAAAAUGUCAGUUACCCUAGUUAUUACAUUCAGUAGACGACUUGUUCUUUCGUGUUACAAUAUAUUUACUGGACAAAGCUAUAUUUUGAGAAAAUAUGACAUAUACUGAAUAAUCUCUAUUAAUAAAAAAAUUCUUGUAGUAUGGCCAUUUUAAUCGAACUAAAGGUUCUAAUAAUAUUUCUACUUUUAAGCCUGUUUCUAAAAUUGAAGUUUCAAAAAACAUUACAUAUCUUUGUGUUUCUAUUUUUAAUUCUAGUCAAACCAUUGUGUCAUACGUUAUGGGUUCAAAUGAUUAUUUUAUGGUGUACAGUGCAUAUUGUAAAACGUCUCCAUUCUCUUAUAGUUCAUGUUGUUGAUACUUUAUUUGAUGUGUCAGAUAUAAGUCUUUUCUCUUGUACGUCUCUGAAAUGUUGUAUAUCACGUUGAUAACACUGUCAAUUUCAUGACGUUGAUAUUCCAGAUGGUUAUUGGAAAAAUAAAUGAUAAAAGUAGUUUUUCUAUAUAUAAAAAUAUUGUCUUCUUGUGCAAUCAGGAUUACAUAAGUAAUGAACGAUUUUAAAUAAUAAAGAUUUGCAAUAUGUGA